AUAUCCCACAUGGCACCGCGAGGGCCGUCUGACGCUCCGGCCCACGGCUCAUUAAUAGUAAUGAGAUGCAACACUGCCACAACCCGUCAGGGGGCGCUGAAACAGGCACUUGGUGGGGAGCAGCAUCCAGGGCGCUGAUUGCAUGCGAUUUUCAUCCCAUGUGGGUUCGUUAUUUUUAACGUAUUCCCCGUGGAGCCAUAAAUGUUCCAGUAUAACUUCGGUUUAUGCACGGAAUUAGCAUUCAAGCUAUGUCCAGAGAAAUAAACAAAUCUUGCUCUAGCAAGCCUCCAGCUUAAAAUGGCUGCGUUUGCCGACAGUGGAGCUACAAAGGAUGCAUUCACUGCACAUGGAGUCGGAGUGCCUGUGACAUCACCUGUGCCGCCACACAUUGUGGCCUGCAUCAAAGAACAAAGGCCCGCUUUCGUCCAAGGAUUGGCAAUCACCCUCAGAAUGUCACUCAGCUUUGAGUUUUCUCCACCAUGCCGCAGGGCUGCAUUCCUGGCCAGGACUUACGAUGCCGGCUUCUCCGGAAAUGCAGAGUGUGCAGUCCGUCAAAAAUCUUCAUCGUAGCACUGGACCGUUGAGGGAAGACAAGUCACAUCCCCUUUUACGGCACUAGCUGCCAUAUUUUGGUACAGCAAAAGUCAGUCUUCAGGCUGCAUGUAAAUUCCUUCAGUUCUUCAGAAAAUGUGUGAAUUAUGUUAAGUGUAUUACAUUAGAAAGUAACAUAAAAUUCACAUGGCAAAGUUUUCCUCACCUAGUGGAUACAAUUCAGACUUUUAAGUACUUGCAUCAAAUAGAAAAUAUAGAGGACGUAAUUCCAACUUUGAACGAAGUUUCUGCUUCAGUCUUUUCCAACAACUUGAUUAUUAGGGCUACAGAUUUACUUUGGCUUUCUGUGGGAGAAAUCCCUAUCGCCCCCUCCUUUUGUAUGAACUGGAUGACUUCAACGAUGUGAAACCUUCCAAUUUUUAAUUGGAGUCACCUCAUUUCAACUGUUUCCCACGCAGCUGACGGAAACUGACAGAUGAGUGGCCCCCACGCUUGGGCCAGGAGGCCUCAUAGCUUCAUCCAACAUAGAAACGAGAGAACGUAAUCUGCCAAAUAGAUCCCAGAGCACAGGCUUCCUUACAAAACCCCAUCAAAACAAACUUUAAAAAUGGCUUUAAAGGAACAAAUGGUGUGUUUCCGCUGAUGACUUGAACUAGUUUGAUGAGGUCAUUCGUAGGGUUGGCUACUUUGGAGCUGGUUCUUUGGGAUGUCACACCGUAAUUUUCUGUGAGCUGGAGACAGGCUGAAGAAGAGAAAUAGUCAGGAGCCAGGUUGCUGGUAGCGACGUCUGAUAGCAAUCCACAGCAACCGAGGCUGGAGCCUUCAGAUGGCAUCGGUGACACCUCUAUUUGUUGUGCAUCACUGUAUCAGAGAAGUGACUAAGGUUCUCUACGUCAGAAGGAACACCAUGUCUUUUCCAUUGGACAGAGCGAAGGAGGGUGAGAAAGAGGAUUAGGCUUUGCCUCUUCUCCCGCAGUGUCCAACGUGCCAUGGACUGCAAUCACAUUGCCCUGCAUGAUCUCCAUUAGCAAGCAGACUGGGCCCCUUCUCAUUGGAAAGGGGCACCAAUUCUUUAAUGUGCAUCUUGUUUGAAAUCACAGGUGGAACAUUAUGGAGUUGUGUCCGAAUUCAUUCUCUGUGCCGCCUUUAUUCCAGUCAAGCAACCAGGUCACAGCCUGGCUACUUGGCAGCAAGGCUUAUCUCCCCCAGACAGAGCCUGUGACUCGUCAGGAUUCCAGUUACAGAUGCAAUGCAAGCCUACUAUGAGAUCUAUGCUGCCACCAGGAAUAUUAUUGAACAGACUGUCAGCACACUCAAGUCACAGUUCUGUUGCCUGGAUCAUUCGUGAGAAGCCUCGCAAUCCACCCCAGACCUUUGUCAUGAAGAGAUUAUUGUCUAUAACGUUAUUUGAAAUGAUUUUUAAAUUGGAAUUGUAGUAGGGUCUGUGUCUGUGUGUCUCUGAAUUGGAUUAAA
Long non-coding RNA from Carcharodon carcharias (great white shark), 2025 nucleotides. RefSeq lists it as uncharacterized. The record is from RefSeq and is a predicted model, not a curated record. The transcript is spliced from 3 exons. Lineage: Eukaryota; Metazoa; Chordata; Chondrichthyes; Lamniformes; Lamnidae.